UGUGUAGGCGGUUUCUCCAAGUUUGGUGUGAAAUCUCCCGGCUCAACCGGGAGGGUGCGCCGAAAACUGGAGGGCUAGAGUGCGGGAGGGGAGAGUGGAAUUCCUGGUGUAGCGGUGAAAUGCGUAGAUAUCAGGAGGAACACCGGUGGUGUAGACGGCUCUCUGGACCGUAACUGACGCUGAGACACGAAAGCGUGGGUAGCAAACAGGAUUAGAUACCCUGGUAGUCCACGCCCUAAACGAUGCAUAUUUGGUGUGGGUCAUUCAGUUGAUCCGUGCCGGAGCUAACGCGUUAAAUAUGCCGCCUGGGGGAGUACAGUCGCAAGGCUGAA
This 332-nucleotide ribosomal RNA is filed under the name uncultured bacterium. RNAcentral describes it as "bacterial SSU rRNA". It matches the Rfam family "Bacterial small subunit ribosomal RNA", at positions 568 to 898 of the family's 1533-position model. The record is from RNAcentral.